AUGAACGCUGGCGGCGUGCCUAAUACAUGCAAGUCGAGCGAACGGACGAGAAGCUUGCUUCUCUGAUGUUAGCGGCGGACGGGUGAGUAACACGUGGAUAACCUACCUAUAAGACUGGGAUAACUUCGGGAAACCGGAGCUAAUACCGGAUAAUAUUUUGAACCGCAUGGUUCAAAAGUGAAAGACGGUCUUGCUGUCACUUAUAGAUGGAUCCGCGCUGCAUUAGCUAGUUGGUAAGGUAACGGCUUACCAAGGCAACGAUGAAUAGCCGACCUGAGAGGGUGAUCGGCCACACUGGAACUGAGACACGGUCCAGACUCCUACGGGAGGCAGCAGUAGGGAAUCUUCCGCAAUGGGCGAAAGCCUGACGGAGCAACGCCGCGUGAGUGAUGAAGGUCUUCGGAUCGUAAAACUCUGUUAUUAGGGAAGAACAUAUGUGUAAGUAACUGUGCACAUCUUGACGGUACCUAAUCAGAAAGCCACGGCUAACUACGUG
This 496-nucleotide ribosomal RNA is filed under the name uncultured bacterium. Its description in RNAcentral is "partial 16S ribosomal RNA". It matches the Rfam family "Bacterial small subunit ribosomal RNA", at positions 29 to 507 of the family's 1533-position model. The record is from RNAcentral.